This 557-nucleotide ribosomal RNA is filed under the name Hylodes pipilans. RNAcentral describes it as "partial 16S ribosomal RNA". It matches the Rfam family "Bacterial large subunit ribosomal RNA", at positions 1860 to 2620 of the family's 2925-position model. Lineage: Eukaryota; Metazoa; Chordata; Amphibia; Anura; Hylodidae. The record is from RNAcentral.
UGCCCAGUGACUCUGUUCAACGGCCGCGGUAUCCUAACCGUGCGAAGGUAGCGUAAUCACUUGUUCUUUAAAUAAGGACUAGUAUGAAUGGCAUCACGAGGGUUACACUGUCUCCUUUUUCCAAUCAGUGAAACUAAUCUUCCCGUGAAGAAGCGGGAAUCAUUAUAUAAGACGAGAAGACCCUAUGGAGCUUUAAACAAACAACAUUUGCUAACUCACCAGCGAUACCCAGGUCGCUAAUCUUAAUCCUAGCACUAUGAUUUCAAGUUUUUGGUUGGGGUGACCGCGGAGUAAAAAUUAACCUCCACAAUGAAAGAACUCUUUCUAAGUAAAAAGCUACUACUUUAAGCAUCAAUAAAUUGACAUUCAUUGACCCAAUAUUUUGAUCAACGAACCAAGUUACCCUAGGGAUAACAGCGCAAUCCACUUUAAGAGCUCUUAUCGACAAGUGGGCUUACGACCUCGAUGUUGGAUCAGGGUACCCCAGUGGUGUAGCCGCUACUAAAGGUUCGUUUGUUCAACGAUUAAAACCCUACGUGAUCUGAGUUCAGACCGGA